Molecule: non-coding RNA, 72 nt
Organism: Cutaneotrichosporon spelunceum
Lineage: Eukaryota; Fungi; Basidiomycota; Tremellomycetes; Trichosporonales; Trichosporonaceae
Source: the annotation of a GenBank genome assembly
GAGGGCAUAACUCAGUGGUAGAGUAGCUGACUUUUAAUCAGUCUGUCGUAGGUUCGAAUCCUACUGUUCUUU